This 444-nucleotide ribosomal RNA is filed under the name uncultured Anaerolineaceae bacterium. RNAcentral's name for it is "bacterial SSU rRNA". It matches the Rfam family "Bacterial small subunit ribosomal RNA", at positions 925 to 1382 of the family's 1533-position model. Lineage: Bacteria; Bacillati; Chloroflexota; Anaerolineae; Anaerolineales; Anaerolineaceae. The record is from RNAcentral.
ACAAGCGGCGGAGCGUGUGGUUUAAUUCGUUGCUACACGAAGAACCUUACCUGGGUUUGACAUAUAGGUUGUAGGGAACUGAAAAGGGACCGACCCUUCGGGGAGCCUAUACAGGUGUUGCAUGGCUGUCGUCAGCUCGUGUCGUGAGAUGUUCGGUUAAGUCCGCUAACGAGCGCAACCCUCGUCGUAUGUUAUAUGUGUCAUACGAGACUGCCGGUAAAAAGCCGGAGGAAGGUGAGGAUGACGUCAAGUCCUCAUGGCCUUUAUGCCCAGGGCUACACACGUGCUACAAUGGCAGGUACAGAGGGCUGCGAAGCCGCGAGGUGGAGCGAAUCCCAGAAAACCUGUCUCAGUCCGGAUUGAAGUCUGCAACUCGACUUCAUGAAGGCGGAAUCGCUAGUAACCGCGAAUCAGCAGGUCGCGGUGAAUACGUUCCCGGGCCUU